AUACAGAGGGUGCGAGCGUUAAUCGGAAUUACUGGGCGUAAAGCGCGCGUAGGCGGUCUAUUAAGUCAGAUGUGAAAUCCCAGGGCUCAACCUUGGAACUGCAUCUGAUACUGGUAGACUAGAGUUUUGGAGAGGGAAGUAGAAUUUCAGGUGUAGCGGUGAAAUGCAUAGAGAUCUGUAGGAAUACCAGUGGCGAAGGCGACUUCCUGGCCAAAAACUGACGCUGAGGUGCGAAAGCGUGGGUAGCAAACGGGAUUAGAAACCCCAGUAGUCC
RNAcentral lists this ribosomal RNA (274 nucleotides) under uncultured bacterium. RNAcentral's name for it is "partial 16S ribosomal RNA". It matches the Rfam family "Bacterial small subunit ribosomal RNA", at positions 523 to 796 of the family's 1533-position model. The record is from RNAcentral.